Non-coding RNA from Anas platyrhynchos (mallard), 366 nucleotides. The record is from RefSeq and is a predicted model, not a curated record. NCBI's taxonomy places the organism in Eukaryota, Metazoa, Chordata, Aves, Anseriformes, Anatidae.
CAAGAGACUUCUGAGCCUGAGAGAUGCCAAGGUAGAAAGGACAAGACUAAAAACACUGAGAAAGAGCAUUACCAAAGCAAGAGGGAACAUGCUCCUAGUGAAGAGAAGGAGAGUCAAAAAGCAGGUCCUUCCAGCAAGAGAAGGAUCAACUUGAAUACAAAGAAUGCAAACUUGAGCUCCUGAUUGGCUUCAUGCUGAACUCUGUGCUGUUCUUGUCCUACUCUUGGUCUCUCCAUAGAUACUAUGGUUUAAAUCCAAAUAGAAUCAUGCGAUGAGGAAGAUCUCACUGCAACAAAUUCAACAUCUAAAAUCAAAAUUUACAUUUUCCGUGAUUUUCUUCCUGAGCAGAAAUGUGCAGUACUCCUU